UUCUCAAGAAGGUGACAUUCAU
RNAcentral lists this microRNA (22 nucleotides) under Callithrix jacchus (white-tufted-ear marmoset). RNAcentral describes it as "cja-miR-513e-3p". Its record names the gene cja-miR-513e-3p. Lineage: Eukaryota; Metazoa; Chordata; Mammalia; Primates; Cebidae. The record is from miRBase by way of RNAcentral.